CCAUUUCUCUUACAUUAGCUUCUUUCUACAGGAUGUUUGUAGUUUUCCUAAAGCUGUAUUCCUCUUCAUUUCUGUAUUUUCAGAAACUGUUUGUUGCCAUCCUGUGCUCGGAAAAGAGUGUGUAUAAGCUUGCCCUCGGGCCACCUCCCAUUCACAAUCUUGCACAUGCUGGACUUACGCAAGCCAAGUGAAGAAUAAAAAAGUCUCCUCUGGAGAAAUGGGUGGGAUACGCCUAGGUUGGGGUAGCCAGUGGCUACAAAACUGUUCUUGUCUAACAAGUUGUCAGAAGUGGCUUGUGAAAUCCGAUGAGAUGAAGUCCAUGCUCUGCAUAUGGACAGUACACGCAUUUCUUGAAGUAACUAAUUCCAACCUGGUUAAGCAGCCUUCAGACUCACAGAAGGUGCUUGCAGUGACAAAUGUAAGUAGGUUCUUCCUUGUCUUUGUGCUUGUUUACGUUGUCACUUCUUUCCUUUCCACCUCCAUAUUCUCCUGUUAUAUCCUACUUUCCAACAGCCUGAUGUUUUUGCCUUCCCAUACCUUUAAUAGUUGUAAGUUAACAGGGGAAUGAAUCGGUAACUUGCAACAUCCAGGUUUUGCUGUAAUUUCUGACAGCUAGGGAAUAUCUGAACACAGAACACAAUACCCUAAUAUCUAAGGAUGGAAAAGCAGUUAAAAGGACAUUGAAUCGAAGAGAAGUAAAGUGACACAGAAACUAACAAGCAAGUGUUAGAUAGGCAAGUAAGUGUAAAGCUGAAGUUACACCAGUGCCAGUUAAUGAGUUUCUAAUAAGGUAUGCAGAUGGUAUCCAGGAGGGCUGUGCCUGCAGGGAGUGUAGGUCCUAAUACGCAUCAGCAGCUUCAUGAAAGAAGAUGCAGAAACAUUUGUGUGACAAAUGGGUUGUUAAACCUGGUGCCACUGGUGGAGAAAGAGCUCCUUUACCUCCAUCAUUUAAUUAAAAAUGUUCUACUUGGGUAGUUUGUUCUACAUAGGGAGUUUGUUCUACAUAGGUAGUUUUUGCUGUGGGCUUUAAGAUGUAAGAUAUUGGACUCGCUGCAUGUGAUAACAUUGCAUCAACAAUGAGCCUGUUCUCUAGUGUGCCCGGGCAGAUCUUUCAUUCAGGACAAAGGAAGUGUGGUCUGUGUUAAAGAUAUAGUUCAACUUUCAUAAUAAAGCAAUGUGAAUGAUGAAUGAAGGCA
Molecule: long non-coding RNA, 1196 nt
Filed under: Anas platyrhynchos platyrhynchos (common mallard)
Lineage: Eukaryota; Metazoa; Chordata; Aves; Anseriformes; Anatidae
Description: lncRNA (ENSAPLG00000023043.1)
Source: RNAcentral